UACGUAGGGGGCAAGCGUUGUCCGGAAUUAUUGGGCGUAAAGCGCGCGCAGGCGGUCAUUUAAGUCUGGUGUUUAAUCCCGGGGCUCAACCCCGGAUCGCACUGGAAACUGGGUGACUUGAGUGCAGAAGAGGAGAGUGGAAUUCCACGUGUAGCGGUGAAAUGCGUAGAUAUGUGGAGGAACACCAGUGGCGAAGGCGACUCUCUGGGCUGUAACUGACGCUGAGGCGCGAAAGCGUGGGAAGCAAACAGG
RNAcentral lists this ribosomal RNA (252 nucleotides) under uncultured bacterium. RNAcentral describes it as "partial 16S ribosomal RNA". It matches the Rfam family "Bacterial small subunit ribosomal RNA", at positions 524 to 776 of the family's 1533-position model. The record is from RNAcentral.